CCUCAUAUUUCCCCUCUCACUGCCCUGUCCUGUGAUUGUCUGACUCCACACCACACUGCGUGCUUCUAAAGACCCAGGUCUGACCCCUCUCAGAGGCUCCAGAACCCAAGUCAAGGGCAUGGCACACGUCAGCAUCUGAGGAGCUGGCCUAGAGAAGAAAAGGGACUUGAGGCACAGAGAGAGAAAGCAGGGACAGGGUAGAAGUAGGGCUUGAGCCCAGAUCCCCUAAAGCCCAUGAUUUGUCCCCCACACACCCAAAGCAAGGGAUGGAGGAACUGGGGAGUCCCAAGGCUCACAUGAGCUAUUUCCCACUCUACCCACUGCUGUGAAACAUGCGGAGAGCUAAAGAUUUCGUAAUCUGGAGCUAGCCCCUGCCCAUCUGUACAAUGGGAGGCGUCAGUCAGUGACUCUCAAACCCUUUUAACCUGAUGCAUAUAAGAAAUUCACUUUACAUCGUGAUCUGGUCCACAAUACAUACAUACAUAGGUAACUGAAACAAACAUUUUAUGAAAGAAUAGUUAGCUCUACUAUUGGCAGUGCACUUUUCCUAUUCCAUUUAUUUAUUUAUCCUUUUCAAUGCCAGCUGUGAUUCAAUAACUGACUACAUGGCCCACAGGUCCUUUUCAGCCCCAACAUCCUGUGACUGGCUGAAUGGGAAUCCCUGACAGCUGUCUCUGGUCCUGGCUCAGCGUAACCGGGCCAAGCCGAGCGCCUGCCCGAGCUGGCGUUUCCCCCGCGCACCCUGAGAGGACAGACCCGCGGGCUCGACGGGCUUCCCACAGAUGCUUCAGGCGCGGUCCUCGAUGCCAGGGGAACACUGCCCGGUGACCUGCAAAUAAUCUCUGAGGAUGGAGCGGUGUGCUGCCUCUGCUUCCCGGUGGGCGAGGUUACUACAUCCGGGGCAUCCACCAGCCCCCUUGUCCUAGGCCAGUGUAGCAGGAAGUGUGAGCAGAGGAGUGUAAACAUGUUGGUGUAUGAGCUAGCCGCGCAGGGAAAGGAAGAGGCAAGCAAGGAAGCCAGAGGACGAAGACAUUUAAAAGUCCAGUGGAAAAGACGCAAUGUGAGAGCCCCAAAAAGGGGAAGAGCUCGGGAACCGUCUAGUUCCAGGUUAAACCCCAGCAGGCUUCAGAGCCCGGACAAAUGACUUUUCUCUGACCGGUGGCUCUCAUUUAUAAACAUUGGCGCUCUUGUGGGCCUGUCCAUAGCAGCGGUCGUGCUCCUGGCCUUCAUCGUCACUGUCUGUGUGCUUUGUUACCUGUUCAUCAGCUCAAAGCCCCUCACGAAGUUGGACCCAGGUUUAAGUUUACAGACUACAGGCAGAAGAAACAGCACAAGGCGACACCCAGAGAUGUGAAGGAAACAAUGAAAAUUUUGGUGUGGCAAAGCAAAGAGUUCUUGAGGGAAGAGUGGUUAGUAACAAAGCUGAAGAGAAGGGAUGGGACCAGGACACAAAGAGCCUUGAAUGCCACCUCAAGGAUCACAGGUAAUGGGAAGACGUUGAAGGCUUUUAAGAAAGAACAGUACAUGAACUCAACCUUAGAAAGAUCUCUCUGGCUACAGCCUGGAGGAUGGACUGAAAGGGGCCCGACUGGAAGCUGUUCCAGUGGUCUGGGCAGAAGAAAAUGAAAGCCUUACCUAAGGUGGUGGCCUUGAGCGUGUCUGAGAGAAAUGGGUGGAUAUGGCAGAUGGUGGUUUGGUGGCAUCAGCAGGACCUGCUGAAUUGCUUGGCUUUGUGAAGGGGUUGAGGAGAAGGGUGAGAGAUGCUCACAUUCCUUGAGCUUGAACACUUGAUAUACUUUUUAUCUGAAAGGCAGGAAUGCUCAAUUGUGCCACAUGCUCCUGAUAAGUCAAGGGACAUAAGGAUUUAUGUGACCGUGGGAUUUAGUGACAAAACAUUGUAAGUAUGUUGGGGGCAGAAACCAAGUAACCUGCAACAGAAUAAGUCAUGAAUGGGAAGUGAGGAAUAAUAAAGCCAAGUGAGCUUCCUUUUAAGCUCAGAUAUAAGAGGAGGAUAAAGCAGUAGAUGAAGAGAGUCAUGGCAUCUAUUCUUAAAGCAGAGAAAAAGGUACGUUUUUAAGUUUCCAGCACUUCUCUGCAUACUAGCCAUGCAGUAAGCCUUUAUCCUCGUCUAUGAAAUGAGUUUUUAACAGUACCGACCUCAUAGGUCUAUGGUCAAGGUGCAGUCUUCAUCUCUCCUAACAAUUGUUUAUUGUGCUUCUUCUCCACUCAACUUUAAGUUCAUGAGAAGCAUUCACAGUUCCUAGUGCAUGAUGUGGCAUAUCGUUAAUAAAUGUUUGUUAAACGAAUGAUGCAUUUAAGACUCUGAGCACAGUCCUGCCCAAGGUAAGCACUCAGGGAAGUCAGCCAGGGCUUGUGUCCUGGUGGGGAGGAAGGGGCUACAGGAGGAAGCCCCAUGUCCCCAGCUUGCUGUUUUCCAGACGCCGAGGAGGUGCCCCCUGAUCGCCAAGGUGGGAACAUGGGCGGUUCGGUGGAGGUGGCAGGAGUGAGCCCUCUGGGGAAGAGUCACCCUUUUCUGAACCCACGGCUGGACUGCAACACGGAC
Molecule: RNA transcript, 2563 nt
Organism: Equus quagga
Lineage: Eukaryota; Metazoa; Chordata; Mammalia; Perissodactyla; Equidae
Gene: SHISAL2A
Gene name: shisa like 2A
Exons: 3
Source: RefSeq, a predicted model, not a curated record